This 257-nucleotide long non-coding RNA is filed under the name Neodiprion lecontei (redheaded pine sawfly). RNAcentral describes it as "uncharacterized LOC124294970". Lineage: Eukaryota; Metazoa; Arthropoda; Insecta; Hymenoptera; Diprionidae. The record is from RNAcentral. RNAcentral also lists the same sequence under 1 other name.
UCGUUCGACCAUUGAUGUAAUUGAUAUGCUUGGCCACAAAUACGUCCGCCCUCAACGGCUUAGAAUCAUUCCUCAAUAGGUGAGUUUUAAUUAUGCUAAACUCACUUUCCACCGACGCGCUUACGAUCGCCCAUUGAUAGCACGGUAGGGCGAAUAAAUGACAAAGUAAAUACUCUCGCGUCAUGAAUUUUUCCUGGUAUUCCGGUGAAUACAUCAAGGAACUUCUUCUUCGCAUCGCAUAUUCCUUGCAAAGUCAA